This 497-nucleotide ribosomal RNA is filed under the name uncultured bacterium. RNAcentral's name for it is "partial 16S ribosomal RNA". It matches the Rfam family "Bacterial small subunit ribosomal RNA", at positions 28 to 507 of the family's 1533-position model. The record is from RNAcentral.
GACGAACGCUGGCGGCGUGCCUAAUACAUGCAAGUUGAGCGCUGAAGGUUGGUACUUGUACCAACUGGAUGAGCAGCGAACGGGUGAGUAACGCGUGGGGAAUCUGCCUUUGAGCGGGGGACAACAUUUGGAAACGAAUGCUAAUACCGCAUAAAAACUUUAAACACAAGUUUUAAGUUUGAAAGAUGCAAUUGCAUCACUCAAAGAUGAUCCCGCGUUGUAUUAGCUAGUUGGUGAGGUAAAGGCUCACCAAGGCGAUGUUACAUAGCCGACCUGAGAGGGUGAUCGGCCACAUUGGGACUGAGACACGGCCCAAACUGCUACGGGAGGCAGCAGUAGGGAAUCUUCGGCAAUGGACGAAAGUCAGACCGAGCAACGCCGCGUGAGGGAAGAAGGUUUUCGGAUCGUAAAACUCGGUUGGUAGAGAAGAACGUUGGUGAGAGUGGAAAGCUCAUCAAGUGACGGUAACUACCCAGAAAGGGACGGCUAACUACGUG